Molecule: ribosomal RNA, 342 nt
Filed under: uncultured bacterium
Lineage: Bacteria
Description: bacterial SSU rRNA
Rfam family: Bacterial small subunit ribosomal RNA
Source: RNAcentral
CCAGACUCCUACGGGAGGCAGCAGUGGGGAAUUUUGCGCAAUGGGGGAAACCCUGACGCAGCAACGCCGCGUGCGGGACGAAGGCCCUCGGGCUGUAAACCGCUUUCAGCAGGGAAGACGUCGACGGUACCUGCAGAAGAAGCUCCGGCUAACUACGUUCCAGCAGCCGCGGUAAUACGUAGGGGGCGAGCGUUUUCCGGAUUCAUUGGGCGUAAAGAGCGCGUAGGCGGACGCCUAAGCGGAACCUUUAACCCCGGGGCUCAACCCCGGGCAGGGUUCCGGAAUGGGCGGCUAGAGUGCGGUAGAGGGGAGCGGAAUUCCCGGUGUAGCGGUGGAAUGCGC